Molecule: long non-coding RNA, 2214 nt
Organism: Oncorhynchus gorbuscha (pink salmon)
Lineage: Eukaryota; Metazoa; Chordata; Actinopteri; Salmoniformes; Salmonidae
Exons: 2
Source: RefSeq, a predicted model, not a curated record
ACGUAGUUUUCCAUAGGUUGUGGGACAUAUAGUUUUCUAAACUGUGCUAGUUGCGUUUAUCUUUUGAUAUGAGUUCAAACCAGGACACAUAUAAUCAUUUAACGAAUACUAAGUAAGAUUUAUUAUCGUAUUGUGUCAAGUAACUAUGCCUAUUACAGUCAGAUUUGGAUAAAUUAGUUGUUUAUUUGGCUUAAAAUGUACUACAAGUACCAUGAUGUCAUAAGGUGAAUGCACCAAUUUGUAAGUCGCUCUGGAUAAGAGCGUCUGCUAAAUGACUUAAAUGUAAAUGUAAAUGAUGCGUUUUGGUUUUGCACAAAUCAACCUUAUUUAUUUAUUAAUUUACCUGAAUAUGUUUUACAUUUAUACACUUCUAGAACAGAGUAUGUGCAAUACAAGUGUAUGCUAAUGAAUCUCUAACGCUGUGUCAAAAGAUUAACGGUACAUGCAUGAGGAGACAGCAACAUAUAAGGAUUCAUUCAUUUUAUGUUGGCAACAUUAGCUAGUAUUAGCCACUAGCUAGCUACAUUGUAAGUCUUCCCAAAUUCGAGAAACAUUUUGUUGUAAUCAAUGUCAACAUAUAUUUUAUUUGGCUUUACUGCUAUUAGCCCAUACAAACGCAUUGAAUAAUAGGUUCACCACAUGGAACAACAGCUAGUCCCCCCCCCCCCCCCCCCGAAAUAUCUAACGUAAGUUAUUCUUUCCAUAAUAGUUUGUAGGCCAAACCGUUUGGACGCUACAUACGAUUUUGUGAGAAGACCGAUUUUCGGGAUGUCUCGUGGCCUGACAAAAACCGCUUUACCGCUGUCAACUUUCACCGCAGAUGCGACAUAGGUGGAGGAUAACAGAUCUCUACUUUAAAUGGACGGAUUUUGAUGUGGAUUUGGCAUUAUGCUAAUUCGAUUUUCACAGGGACGCGGACAUCGAGGUGCAUGUACACUAGAUAGUGGUAAAUUGGCGAGUGAUGCUUAGGCCGCCCAUUGUAACUCGCUUGCGGUCGUGCUGGCAGCAUAUGGCAGCCUUCUCGAUUGUGAGUCAAUAAUUCAGCAUAGCAAGUUUGUUUGAAGGUCUUGUUAUUAAAUGGGUACAUAGCUCAAUAAUAAUAUCCUCUAAAACGCUCUGGUGACAAACAAACUUUGCUGCCCUGUUUCCAAUUGUCCGCAUGGCUGGGUAACCUAUUCAUUUUAAAAAUAUAUAUUUCGAAAAUGUAAAAAAUAUAUAUAUGUAUUAUUAGCUCACUAGCUACAGUGUACACUGUAAAAAAAACUCCAAAUGCAUUCGUAGGUAGGCAGCUAACGCCAUGGAGUAUGGUAAAAGGAUAGCAGCCCCAACUGUCAAGGUGAGAGAAUCGGCUAUUCUGGAUAGGGCAGCUACUUUUGUGUAGUUCCUUUCCCUAGAAGUGAGGAUGGAGAUAAUAGUAACAAUAUUCAGUGCGGUGUAAUUUGACUAUAAUAAAGUCGGUUUCUUGUGAGUUUUUCUGUCCUCAGAUAAAGAGAGUUACAGUAUGAAAGCCUGUCUACAUAUUAAGAGGUCCCAAUGAAGAGCAGUGGUUCUCAGUCCUGGUCCUGGGAACUCAAAGGGGUGCACAUUUUUGUGCACACACAGAUUCCUGUUGUACACUGUCUCUUUAACUACCUUAUUUUCUCAAUAAGUCUCUCUUCUUCCCUUCAUCCCUCUCUCCUCUUCUGUCUAAAUCCUCUAGGUUAUAUCAGCUGUGUCAGUGAACCCCUCAUGCAUUUGAACUGGCUACAUAUAGGGCACAGCAUGAUCAGUAGUGAGAGGUCACUUGGUCAGGUCAACAGGAAGUAUUAUUAAAAAGAUGCAGUAGUCCCAGAGUUAAUGAUCCAAGAUAUGUUUUGAUGUGAAAGAGGAUGCCAACCCCCCAGUCCCAUCAUCGCCCUCACCCGCUUUUAAGAUAACCUUCGGGCAGAUGAAACACUAUUAUGUAAUUGUGAUCAACUGAGAGAAUAUUUGGGUAUCACUGUGAUUCAGUAAUCAUAUGCUGCCUUCCCUGCUCCUAUGUUCUUACCUCUUUCCCUUUCUGUCUUUUACACCUCUCUCGCCACCACCUCUUUCUUCCUGUUAUUAUAAUGCACAACAGAUGUGCAGUAAAGUACAGAUUGAACUUGUAUUUAUAAUAUUACAAUUAGAAUAUUUAUAAUGCAUGUAUUUAUAACACUUGGAUAAUAAACUUUCAAUAAAGCGUUUCACAUUCUC